CAACCUGCCUUACACUCUUGGACAGCCUUCUGAAAGGGAGAUUAAUACAAGAUGUUAUCAUGAGUAAGCAUUUUCGCAUGAUUAAAAGUUUACCGGUGUAAGAUGGGGAUGCGUUCCAUUAGAUAGUAGGCGGGGUAACGGCCCACCUAGUCUUCGAUGGAUAGGGGUUCUGAGAGGAAGGUCCCCCACAUUGGAACUGAGACACGGUCCAAACUCCUACGGGAGGCAGCAGUGAGGAAUAUUGGUCAAUGGACGAGAGUCUGAACCAGCCAAGUAGCGUGAAGGAUGAAGGUUCUAUGGAUUGUAAACUUCUUUUAUACGGGAAUAAACGGAUCCACGUGUGGAUUUUUGCAUGUACCGUAUGAAUAAGGAUCGGCUAACUCCGUGCCAGCAGCCGCGGUAAUACGGAGGAUCCGAGCGUUAUCCGGAUUUAUUGGGUUUAAAGGGAGCGUAGAUGGGUUGUUAAGUCAGUUGUGAAAGUUUGCGGCUCAACCGUAAAAUUGCAAUUGAUACUGGCAGUCUUGAGUACAGUUGAGGUAAGCGGAAUUCGUGGUGUAGCGGUGAAAUGCUUAGAUAUCACGAAGAACUCCGAUUGCGAAGGCAGCUUACUAACCUGUAACUGACAUUGAUGCUCGAAAGUGUGGGUAUCAAACAGGAUUAGAUACCCUGGUAGUCCACACGGUAAACGAUGAAUACUCGCUGUAGGCGAUAUACAGUCUGCGGCCAAGCGAAAGCAUUAAGUAUUCCACCUGGGGAGUACGCCGGCAACGGUGAAACUCAAAGGAAUUGACGGGGGCCCGCACAAGCGGAGGAACAUGUGGUUUAAUUCGAUGAUACGCGAGGAACCUUACCCGGGCUUAAAUUGCAACCGAAUAUGGCGGAAACGCUAUAGCUAGCAAUAGCGGUUGUGAAGGUGCUGCAUGGUUGUCGUCAGCUCGUGCCGUGAGGUGUCGGCUUAAGUGCCAUAACGAGCGCAACCCUUGCCGAUAGUUACUAACAGGUUAUGCUGAGGACUCUGUCGGGACUGCCAUCGUAAGAUGUGAGGAAGGUGGGGAUGACGUCAAAUCAGCACGGCCCUUACGUCCGGGGCUACACACGUGUUACAAUGGGGGGUACAGAGGGCUGCUACCACGCAAGUGGAUGCCAAUCCCAAAAACCUCUCUCAGUUCGGAUUGAAGUCUGCAACCCGACUUCAUGAAGCUGGAUUCGCUAGUAAUCGCGCAUCAGCCACGGCGCGGUGAAUACGUUCCCGGGCCUUG
This 1259-nucleotide ribosomal RNA is filed under the name uncultured bacterium. RNAcentral's name for it is "bacterial SSU rRNA". It matches the Rfam family "Bacterial small subunit ribosomal RNA", at positions 122 to 1383 of the family's 1533-position model. The record is from RNAcentral.